This 497-nucleotide ribosomal RNA is filed under the name uncultured bacterium. RNAcentral describes it as "partial 16S ribosomal RNA". It matches the Rfam family "Bacterial small subunit ribosomal RNA", at positions 28 to 507 of the family's 1533-position model. The record is from RNAcentral.
GAUGAACGCUGGCGGCGUGCCUAAUACAUGCAAGUCGAGCGAACAGAUGAGGAGCUUGCUCCUUUGACGUUAGCGGCGGACGGGUGAGUAACACGUGGGUAACCUACCUAUAAGACUGGAAUAACUCCGGGAAACCGGAGCUAAUGCCGGAUAACAUUUAGAACCGCAUGGUUCUAUAGUGAAAGAUGGUUUUGCUAUCACUUAUAGAUGGACCCGCGCCGUAUUAGCUAGUUGGUAAGGUAACGGCUUACCAAGGCAACGAUACGUAGCCGACCUGAGAGGGUGAUCGGCCACACUGGAACUGAGACACGGUCCAGACUCCUACGGGAGGCAGCAGUAGGGAAUCUUCCGCAAUGGGCGAAAGCCUGACGGAGCAACGCCGCGUGAGUGAUGAAGGUCUUCGGAUCGUAAAACUCUGUUAUUAGGGAAGAACAAAUGUGUAAGUAACUGUGCACGUCUUGACGGUACCUAAUCAGAAAGCCACGGCUAACUACGUG